This is a long non-coding RNA of Gadus chalcogrammus (walleye pollock), 377 nucleotides long. RefSeq lists it as uncharacterized. The transcript is spliced from 3 exons. Lineage: Eukaryota; Metazoa; Chordata; Actinopteri; Gadiformes; Gadidae. The record is from RefSeq and is a predicted model, not a curated record.
CCUUAGGUUGCCAAAUGGGUGAGAGAAGAGCUGUGCCCUGAAGGGACACAGCAUUAUUUUGAUGUCUGGCACAUUGGGAAAAGUCUGGGGAAGGCCUUGGAUACAGCCUCAAAAGACAGACAGUGUGAACAACUACAGUUGUGGAGGCCAGCCAUAGUGAACCACCUGUACUGGACUGCAGCCUCAACCCCUGAUGGCAAUCCAGCUGUGAUGGAGGCCAAAUGGAGAAGCUUGGUGAAUCACAUUCAGGACAUCCACGACCAUGACACCCCUGCCUUCUCCAGUUGCGCUCAUGCCCCUCUGGAGGGGGAUCAACGAGAUAAAGAGUGGCUGGAACCAGGCUCAAUGGCAGCAGUAAAACUGGAGGGUAUCAUCAC